AGAGUUUGAUCCUGGCUCAGAACGAACGUGGGCGGCGUGGAUUAGGCAUGCAAGUCGAGCGGGAUCAAUUUGUUUCAAUCCUUCGGGAAAGAAACUUAUUGUGAGAGCGGCGAACGGGUGAGUAAUAUAUGGGUAAUUUACCUCUUUGUUUGGGAUAGCCAUCGGAAACGAUGAUUAAUACCGGAUGUGUUCAGAAACUGCAUAGUUUCUUAUAUAAAGGCGGGGAUCUUCGGACCUGUCGCAAAGAGAUAAGCCCAUAUCCUAUCAGCUUGUUGGUGAGGUAAUGGCUCACCAAGGCUUACGGGUAGCUGGUCUGAGAGGAUGGUCAGCCACACUGGGACUGAGACACUGCCCAGACUCCUACGGGAGGCUGCAGUCGAGAAUCAUUGUCAAUGCACGAAAGUGUGAACAUGCGACGCCGCGUGGAGGAUGACGGCCUUAGGGUUGUAAACUCCUGUCAGCAGGAAGGAAUAAUUAGAUAAUUAAUACCUAUUUAAUUUGACAGUACCUGCAGAGGAAGUCACGGCUAACUCUGUGCCAGCCGCCGCGGUAAUAC
This 556-nucleotide ribosomal RNA is filed under the name uncultured bacterium. RNAcentral describes it as "bacterial SSU rRNA". It matches the Rfam family "Bacterial small subunit ribosomal RNA", at positions 8 to 526 of the family's 1533-position model. The record is from RNAcentral.